RNAcentral lists this ribosomal RNA (253 nucleotides) under uncultured bacterium. Its description in RNAcentral is "partial 16S ribosomal RNA". It matches the Rfam family "Bacterial small subunit ribosomal RNA", at positions 524 to 776 of the family's 1533-position model. The record is from RNAcentral.
UACGUAGGUGGCAAGCGUUGUCCGGAUUUACUGGGCGUAAAGGGCGCGCAGGCGGCCAGACAAGUCAGAUGUGAAAUCCCCGGGCUCAACCUGGGAACUGCAUUUGUGACUGCACAGCUGGAGUGCGGCAGAGGGGGAUGGAAUUCCGCGUGUAGCAGUGAAAUGCGUAGAUAUGCGGAGGAACACCGAUGGCGAAGGCAAUCCCCUGGGCCUGCACUGACGCUCAUGCACGAAAGCGUGGGGAGCAAACAGG